RNAcentral lists this long non-coding RNA (4775 nucleotides) under Oreochromis niloticus (Nile tilapia). Its description in RNAcentral is "lncRNA (ENSONIG00000039600.1)". Lineage: Eukaryota; Metazoa; Chordata; Actinopteri; Cichliformes; Cichlidae. The record is from RNAcentral.
AUAUCUUAAAAUAAGAUCCAUUAUCUCACUGUUUGAAUCAGAGCGAAGGACAUGAGGGAGCACGUUCGGACUGGAUUCUGUUAAGCUGCCAACAUAGAUGAGGUCUUGCUCCACACCCUCAGUAGGGACGAUUUAAGGGACCUACUUCCAGGGCCUGAAAAUUUUAUGAGGAGGAAACAGUUGUGGGCUCAAGUUCACAAAGAGGCAAGUUUUGCCGCUUUUGAUUGAAAAACACCUAGCACAACACAUUUUGUUUAGGACUCCUGUAAUAUAACUAUUUUUGUUUUCUUAUUUAGGAUGAAACUAAAGAAAAGGUGUCUCAUGGAUAUCUCACCAUGUGACAGGGAGAAGAUUAUGAUGCAGAUUCAAGUGGUGGAUCGAACAUGCUUUUGCCACCCAGGAGCAGUUCUGGUGACAACAGUUGUAAGUGAACGAUUACAAUUAUGGCAAUAAUAUUGAAUAUUGAACUGAAAGUUGAUUUAGUUCUUUCUUUCCUGUUCUGUUUAAACAUAGCCCUGUUCAGGGCACUACCAACUCUCUUCCUAUCACAAGCUGCACCACCCAAGAAGAUGGGACAUGUCAGUGAAGCACUGAUUCAUGUCCUUCAGAAGAUCCAGCGUCAGCCCUGUUCAGCUCUUUGAAGGGUCCCGCUGUCUUAUUGCAGUUGAACCACUCCCAUCACCACAUUUGCCACAGAUGACCUUGGAGAAGGUUUGCUGUAUCUUAUGGCAUACUACUACACCCUGCAUCUUACCUAUCCUAAAUGUGUGGCAACGCUUCUGUCUGUCAUUCAGACAGAAGCGUUAAAAGACAAAAUCCAUGAGCAAGACACCACAGGCUCAUACAAAAAAGUCAUGGCAGGCUGUAGGAAUUUUAUUGAAACAUAGAGCUGUUUGAACAAGAUUUAGCUUAGGUCUGUGUUGGAAGGUUUGGACCUGAUAGCUUUGAAGUUGAAAUUGAUACUUGAAUUUAUUUAUUUAUUUUUUAAUUCUUUGUUCUGUAUUACAUUAAUAAAAGUACUUUUUUUCUUUAAACACAUCUGUUCUGCAAAUUCUGUUUAAAAUUUCAAAUGCUCAUUUUAUAUGUUGAGUAGUUAACUGGUUUAACAGUUCUAAAAGGAACACAAAAUAACAAUGUUACACUUACAAUGUGUCUUUAAAUUUUUGUAUACUAUGAUUGACUGAAAUAUUUGUUACUGUUUGGAGAGUUUGUUUCCAAUAAAGGUCAUGCACACAGUAUACUUUGCCUGCUUUCAUUUGGUAUACAGGCUUUGUCCUGUUUAAGAUUAAAAGAAGAAUUCGCUUGUUUAGUGGGUCUUGUUUUAAGAGCUUUUCUCUCAAAGUAACAUAAAAAAUGAAAACUUAAUUAAAGCACUUACAGACUUAUUUUGGGUUUGACUUAACAGAGUUCUUGGAAUAGCUAAUUCACGACUUGUUUUAAGAUAUCUCUUACUUGUCUAAAGUCUAGAUAUAUUUUCUUAUUUUGAGAAUUCUUAUCAAGUGUAAUUUUCUUACUGCACUGGCAGAUUAUUUCACUAAAUUUAAGAAGAUUUAGACUACAAUCUAAUAUUUUUUAACUUAUUUAAGAUGGGUAAUUUUGCAGUGUUUCUUUAAAAUGAUUUAAUGUACUAGUUUUUAGAUUAUUUGCCUUGAUUUGUUCUUUAGAAUAAGUGUUUUAUGCCCAUUUUCAGAUUUAAUUUCUUCAACAUUUUGCUUAGAACAAGUGGUUAAAGCUUAUUUUAGGUUUCAAUUGCCGUGAUUGGUUGCCUGGAAUAAGUGUGUAAGGAUUAUUUUAAGAUUUAACUAUCUUAUUUGUUCCCUAGAAUAAGUGGUUAAAUUUUAUUUUAAAUUUCAAUUGUUCUGAUUUGUUGCCUGGAAUAAGUGUAAAAGACUUAAGAAGAUUUAAAUAAAGCUAAAUUAUUUCAAGAAAUCUUAGUAAGAAAAAAAAAAAAAACCACACACUUACCCCACUGGCAGAUAAUUUCACUUGUUUUAAGCAAAUCAUCACCAAAGAUAAGUGUAUUUAUCUAGUAUUAAGGAGGUGGGUUUUUGCAGUUAUUAAUAAUAAUAAUAAUAAUAAUAAUAAUAAUAAUAAUAAUAAUAAUAGAUUGCAUUUAUAUAGCGCUUUUCGAGACCCUCAAAGCGCUUUAGAAUUCCACUAUUCAUACACACACACACACACACACACACACACCUACAGUUGUAGCCACAUCUGCCCUGGGGCAGACUGACAGAAGCGAGGCUGCCAUAUCGCGCCAUCGGCCCCUCUGGCCAUCACCAGUAGGUGCCCAAGGACACAACGACUGAGACUGUCGGAGCUGGGGCUCGAACCCGCAACUUUCCGGUUACAAGACGAACUGCCAACUCUUUGAGCCACGAUCGCCCCAUACAUCAUACGGAGCAUGUCACACUCUCCACCACGUUUCUGUAUCUGAACAAUGCCCAGCAUAGUAAAUAAGGAAACCAAAGCUGGUGUAUCUCAGCUUAUUCAAUGUUUAAUUUCUGUGCAUUUGCAUGUACCCUCAAUUUGCUGCACGCAUCCAUCAAGAGGUCACCUCACCUCACCAACUACAAAUCAGAUUCCAAAGGCACACCAAGGGGACAGAAGCUGAGAGAACAACAACGGGGAUUAGAGCAGUAACAAGUGGGCAGCCAGUGACACUCAUUCUGCACAAUCUGGUACAGUUUAAAAAAAAAAAAAAAAAAAAAAAAAGCUAGUUUUGGCCUUUUCUCCUCUCAUCUGGGGAGACACAGCUGACGCACAUCAACAUGACGCCACAGGGAAGUCAAACAAAACACAUUGAACAUGGAAACUACACUUUCAAAAUAAAACAAGAAACAUGGAGAGAUGUAGGCAUAACAAGCUUGACAACAUGAACGACACAGACAGGAAACACAUGACACAUAACCAAGGAGACCUGGAUGAAACAAAAACCAGAAUAAAACUAAUCGAAAAGCAACAUAUCAGGAGGUCGAUCCAGAGGUCGACACAUCAUAAACAUAAGUCCAUAAACAAACAGUUCUGGCCUUCUGCCAGCUGCGAAUAAAUGCACCCUGAGGAGGGUGCAUUUAUGAAAUUUUGCCCAACUUUACCUUGUCCACAACCUUUGUUCCAAGUGACUCCAGCAUGGUCUCAAACAACACUGUACAACCCCCAAAGCUGCAGUGGUCAACAAAAUGACCCUGCAUCCUGUUUUAUCAGCUCAAAAAUGACAUGACAUGAGUCAGUCCCCAAGCCUGAUACCUGAGCUUUCCCUUUCGGGUCUGGGAAUCAGGCUUUGAGGGCCUGCCAUUUAUUAUUUCAUAUCAUACGGGAUGUUACUUCUGAAACGGCAGCUCUUCUGAAUUUCGCCCUCCGACCCCGGCGAGUUUUGCGUUUCUUCUUAUCCUGCGGGCAAAGUUAAAAAAAAAACUGUCUAAGCAUACUUUAACAAGCUGUUAGAAGACUUAAGAAACUUUUUUGCACUGCCCUGUCCAUUGCAUCUUACAUUUUACUUUGUUGUGAUUUUGUAUUUUAUUUUAGAGCAGGAAGCUCAAAAAGCCCCUGGGGCCUUAACAAGUUUUCACUGGCAGCCAUAUGGCACUGUAUCCUUGGAUAAAGUAGGCCCGUGCUUUCAGUAAUGUCAAGAAGCCAAAAGUGACCGAACAGAAAGUGAAAUAUGUCCACUUUCUGUUGCAACAAAGCAAUACUACAUGUACUUCUAAUCUUAACAUACACACAGUAAUGUAUAACAAAGGGGUGCAUUCAGUAAAUAGACAGGCCCCAAAUGCAUACCAUACCAUCUUUAUUUAUAAAGCACUUUAAAAUAAAACCAGAGUUCACAAAGUGCUGUACAUGCUAAUAGCAUAAGUAAAGAAAGUUAAAAAUAAGAUAAAUAAAAAUAACUACAAUAAAUUAAAACGUGUUAAAACAAAUUGAGUCAACCCCUUUAAUCAGUGCCAAAGGCUUCAGCAAAUAAAUACGUUUUAAGACUUUUAAACUCAGUAAGAGAACAGGCCUGCCUAACGUGCAUUCCACAACUUGGAGCAGCUACAGCAAAAGCACGAUCACCUUUAAAUUUAUACUUAGUUUUCGGUAUCUCCUACCCCUUGGGUCUAUUUUCAGGAAGCAUGGGAUUUCUUUCCACUUUAUGCCGAUGACUCCCAGAUUUAUUUCCCACUUAAAAGAUGAUCCACUGUAUCAAAAGCAGCAGUUAAAUCUAACAGCACAAUAAAAACGCAGUCACCUGAGUCAGUUGCUAAAAACACAUCAUUAAAAACUCUUAAAAGGGCAGAUUCGGUACUAUGUAAAGCUUUAAAACCAGAUUGGAAAACUUCUAAAAUACCGUGUUCUUCUAAAAAGGACAUUAAUUGCUUGUAAACUACCUUUUCAAGAAUCUUUGAGAUAACAGGCAGUUUGGAAAUAGGUCUGUAAUUUGCAAUAAUAUCAGGAUCAAGAGCAGGUUUCUUGAGUAGAGGCUGAAUCACUGCAUGUUUAUGAUUGACAGGUACAACACCAGAGGACAGACUACUACUUACAAUGGAUUGUACAACUGAUGCUAUAGUGAGAAAAACCUCUUUGGGAAAAAAAAUCAAGGAGGGAGAGCAUCAUAAGGGGAACCUGAGGGCUUCAGAUGAGCAACCAACUGCUGCAGGCACAGCAAAGAAACUGGCUCAAACCUGUCAAAGACAGCAGAGCUAGGGACAGGGGUAGAAGGGUCGAGAACGGACUGGGAAAUCUGCGCUUUCACAGAGAGCACUUUAUCAAUAAAGAAGUGUAGGAAGUUUUCACAAGUU